RNAcentral lists this long non-coding RNA (680 nucleotides) under Sorghum bicolor (sorghum). RNAcentral describes it as "long non-coding RNA (SBIC_LNC013492)". The record is from RNAcentral. Lineage: Eukaryota; Viridiplantae; Streptophyta; Magnoliopsida; Poales; Poaceae.
GACUGCAUGCUGAUCGCCAUCCAACGAGCAUGCCUCAUGCAUGUCCUUAUGAUCGAUCAUCAGUUGAUCCUGCACGUACAUAACAUGAAAGAUAUCAAAUCAUGGUUAUCACACUCGAUCAUUAGCAGAAAAUCACUCAUAAUCACUGUGCAUUCAUGCAUGCAUGGACGACAUAUUUAAUCAAUUGGACAGGGUGAAAAACUCAGCCUAGGAGGCGUCGUACUUGGAGCAGUCGACGUUGGGACUAAUGGGCACGCCGACGGAGACGCCGCACUUGGAGGGGAUGCUGGCGGCGUUACCCAUGCUGACGCCGCCGCCGCCGCCGAGCCUGCUCGUCAUGCUCUUGAGGCAGGCGCAGGUGGCCUGGCGGUCGGCCGUCGACGACGCGCGGCUGUUGAGCGAGCGCACCCCGGUGCAGCACGCCGGGGAGGGGAACGCCGUGGUGCCCAUCGCGUACCCGAGGCACGGCGCCACCGAGGAUGUCACGUCGCUGCAGCUCACCGCCGCCGAUGCCGGCUCCGAGGACGCCAGCAGCAGCGCCGCCAGGACCGCCACCGUCGUCGCGACCACCAGGGCGAGGCGUGGAGCAGCCAUUGCAGGACAGAAGAGCAGUGGGGGGUGGUGAGCUGUUGAUGGUGUAGUGGUGUUAAGUGAAGCUGUGAUGGAUGGAGCAAUGGUGG